AAGUUUCUUCAGGGCAGGGUGAAAAUCCCUACCGGCGGUAAAGCCCGCGAGCUAUUUUUAGCAUGAUUCGGUGAAAUUCCGAGGCCGACAGUAUAGUCUGGAUGAGAGAAGAAAAAU
This is a non-coding RNA of Clostridium chauvoei JF4335, 117 nucleotides long. The record is from Rfam. NCBI's taxonomy places the organism in Bacteria, Bacillati, Bacillota, Clostridia, Eubacteriales, Clostridiaceae.